Molecule: ribosomal RNA, 274 nt
Filed under: uncultured bacterium
Lineage: Bacteria
Description: partial 16S ribosomal RNA
Rfam family: Bacterial small subunit ribosomal RNA
Source: RNAcentral
AUACGGAGGGGGCUAGCGUUGUUCGGAAUUACUGGGCGUAAAGGGCGCGCAGGCGGUUUGGUAAGUCAGAUGCGAAAGCCCACGGCUCAACCGUGGAAGUGCAUUUGAAACUGUCAGACUUGAGUACUAGAGGGGAAAGUGGAAUUCCCGGUGUAGAGGUGAAAUUCGUAGAUAUCGGGAGGAAUACCGGUGGCGAAGGCGACUUUCUGGCUAGAUACUGACGCUGAGGCGCGAAAGCGUGGGGAGCAAACAGGAUUAGAAACCCCAGUAGUCC